GAUGAACGCUAGCUACAGGCUUAACACAUGCAAGUCGAGGGGAAACGACAUCGAAAGCUUGCUUUUGAUGGGCGUCGACCGGCGCACGGGUGAGUAACGCGUAUCCAGCCUGCCCAUCACUUGGGAAUAACCUUGCGAAAGUAAGACUAAUACCCAAUGACAUCCCACGAAGACAUCUGAAUGGGAUUAAAGAUUUAUCGGUGAUGGAUGGGGAUGCGUCUGAUUAGCUUGUUGGCGGGGUAACGGCCCACCAAGGCAACGAUCAGUAGGGGUUCUGAGAGGAAGGUCCCCCACAUUGGAACUGAGACACGGUCCAAACUCCUACGGGAGGCAGCAGUGAGGAAUAUUGGUCAAUGGGCGAGAGCCUGAACCAGCCAAGUAGCGUGCAGGAUGACGGCCCUAUGGGUUGUAAACUGCUUUUAUAAGGGAAUAAAGUGGGUCUCGUGAGACUUUUUGCAUGUACCUUAUGAAUAAGGACCGGCUAAUUCCGUG
RNAcentral lists this ribosomal RNA (492 nucleotides) under uncultured bacterium. RNAcentral describes it as "partial 16S ribosomal RNA". It matches the Rfam family "Bacterial small subunit ribosomal RNA", at positions 28 to 507 of the family's 1533-position model. The record is from RNAcentral.